CGACCGGCGCACGGGUGAGUAACACGUAUGCAACCUGGCCGUGACAGAUGGAUAACCGGGAGAAAUCCCGCCUAAUACAACAUAAUGCCGGGAGGGGACAUCCCCUGCCGGCCAAAGGGGGCGACCCCGGUCACGGAUGGGCAUGCGGCGCAUUAGUUAGUUGGCGGUGUAACGGACCACCAAGACGACGAUGCGUAGGGGUUCUGAGAGGAAGGUCCCCCACACUGGUACUGAGACACGGACCAGACUCCUACGGGAGGCAGCAG
This 266-nucleotide ribosomal RNA is filed under the name uncultured bacterium. RNAcentral's name for it is "partial 16S ribosomal RNA". It matches the Rfam family "Bacterial small subunit ribosomal RNA", at positions 92 to 354 of the family's 1533-position model. The record is from RNAcentral.